UUCGGACCAGCAACGUGAAAACAAAUUGAGCAACAUACAACAUUCACCUGCUCCAUACAUUCUACAUAUUCAUUCUAAUAUAAUCAUCAUAUUCAUCAUCUACAUUCUACACCAUUCAUCUACUCUAAUCAGCCAUUUUCUACACAUUCAUCUACAUCAUCCACAUCCUAAACACAUUCCCAUCCACAUUCUAAACCAUCAUCCUAAACACAUUCAUCUUCACCGUCCACAUCCUAAACAUUCAUCUACACCAUCCACAUCCUAAACAUUCAUCUAAUCUAAUCAUCCACAUUCAUCUACACCAUCCUAAACAUUCAUCUACACCUUCCUAAACAUUCACCUAAUCUAAUCAUCAACAUUCAUCUAAUCUAAUCAUCCACAUCACAUCCUAAACAUUCAUCUAAUCUAAUCAUCCACACCCUAAACAUUCACUACACAUACAGCUUUUACCAGCCGUCAUAACUACACAUACAUUUUACCAUCACAUAUAUAGCUUACAAGCAAGCAUUUAUCAUUCAUCCUACAAAGUAAGGCACAUUCCCAAGAUUCUCUGUUCCUUCACAUCCGAUCUUUUUUUUUUCCGUCUGUAGUUUCUCUCAAAAGGACAUGCACUUGUUAACUCACUCUUUUUGAAUAUGUGUUCAUCUGCAAAACGAGAUCAAAUCAUUACAAUCCCUUCAGAAUUAUUUUUUUUUACAAAAAUUAAAAUCAUGCAAGUAUCACAUUUAAUCAAAUAAUCAAAUAAUAUAUUCUUAUGUCGAUUAAAAAAAAACACAUUUCAGAUUAUUACAAAAGUAACGCCUUUCCUUAAUUCUUUUUUUUUUUUUUUUUUGACAACAAUUUAAUUCUUUUUUUUUCUUUUCAAAAAAAAAAUAUUAAGAUAACAGGAAAAGGAAUGAUAAUUUUUGUUUCUAUGUUCAUUUAAUAAUCAUUUAUAUGGUCUUCUAAAUUCAUUUUCGUAGGAAGAAACAGAGUAUGAUUAAAAUGAAAUGCGACAUAGAAAAAUAAAUGAUAGUUUGCUUUCUUUUUAAAGGCAAAAUUUUAAGAGUAAUCUAUUGAAAUCAUCGAACCAUGAGAGCUUCACUAAAACAUUUUUUAAAAAGUUGAGAUUUAGAUUUUAUUUUGUUAACUUCCUUACACUACCAUUCCAUAUCUAUAACUCAAAAUGUAUUUUUUUCUUUCUUAAACUAAGCAUAAAAAAUUGCAAGAUGUGGGAAACUAAAAUACAAAAGAAGUAAAAGGACCAAAGGCGUGGUGUUACCUUGUAGGGGUGAUGAGUCUUUAAGUCUCUAUGCUCAGGGAAUGAGAAGAUCAGAGACAAGGCUUGAGUUGUAGAAGACGUAUGUAUAUCAAAAGAGAUCAGAGACAAGGCUUGAGUUGUAGAAGAACGUAUAUCAAAAGAAUAUAAAACAGAGACUAUUACUGGAGUAUUUGAGAAAUGAAAUUUGAGAGUAAGAAAGGAGAGAAGUUUUUGAUGUCUGAACGAAGGA
RNAcentral lists this long non-coding RNA (1490 nucleotides) under Capsella grandiflora. Its description in RNAcentral is "long non-coding RNA (CGRA_LNC000918)". The record is from RNAcentral. Lineage: Eukaryota; Viridiplantae; Streptophyta; Magnoliopsida; Brassicales; Brassicaceae.